UACGUAGGGUGCGAGCGUUGUCCGGAAUUAUUGGGCGUAAAGAGCUCGUAGGCGGUUUGUCACGUCGGCCGUGAAAACCUGCAGCUUAACUGUGGGCGUGCGGUCGAUACGGGCAUCACUGGAGUUCGGCAGGGGAGACUGGAAUUCCUGGUGUAGCGGUGAAAUGCGCAGAUAUCGGGAGGAACACCGGUGGCGAAGGCGGGUCUCUGGGCAGUAACUGACGCUGAGGAGCGAAAGCGUGGGGAGCGAACAGG
RNAcentral lists this ribosomal RNA (254 nucleotides) under uncultured bacterium. RNAcentral describes it as "partial 16S ribosomal RNA". It matches the Rfam family "Bacterial small subunit ribosomal RNA", at positions 524 to 776 of the family's 1533-position model. The record is from RNAcentral.